Molecule: unclassified non-coding RNA, 380 nt
Filed under: soil metagenome
Description: partial contains 5.8S ribosomal RNA, internal transcribed spacer 2, and large subunit ribosomal RNA
Rfam family: 5.8S ribosomal RNA (bases 1-120)
Source: RNAcentral
GAUGAAGAACGUAGUGAAAUGCGAUAAGUAAUGUGAAUUGCAGAAUUCAGUGAAUCAUCGAAUCUUUGAACGCACCUUGCACCCUUUGGCAUUCUGAAGGGUAUGCUCGUUUGAGUGUCAUUGUACUCUCACACUCCCGAUCUUUGCAUUGGGAGCAGUGGACUUGGGUUUGCUGCUUCACCGUCGCUUACCUCAAAUAGGUUAGUGCAACUCUUGGUUGGACAUAGUACGGCGUGAUAAGUGUUCUUCGCCGGUGCCUCGCAAAGAGGGUGGCCGAUCGGGAUGUUGUGCUCCAAACCGUCUUCGGACAAUCUCUGACGACUUGACCUCAAAUCGAGUAAGACUACCCGCUGAGCUUAAGCAUAUCAAUAAGCGGAGGA